UCUUUCUGCCCCUCCGCCUCUGGUAUAGUUGGGACUACAGGUGUGACCCACUGUGCCUACUCAUGGGGAUUCUUUUGGUGAAAGUAAGCUUCAAAGCAAAGAAGAGGUCUUUUAGUAUCAUCUCUGGGUAAUUCUAGAAAAAAAGUAGGUCAAAGUAAUGCUACUAGAAGAAAUAGGUUUUCUUUAUGUCACACUGGAGUCUUUGGAAGAAAGUGAAUAGCCCUGGCUGUGGCUGGUGUGCUUUUGAGAAUGCAUGCGAGCACCUGCAACAUCGCUGUCAGGGAGUGAAAAUGGAAAGGGCAGUGCCCACAGUACAUCCCAGUCCACAGAACCACAGCUGGUGCAGCUCUCAUUCUCAGAGCAACAGAACCCCAGGCAGGGAGAGCCCCUCUAACACCCAAAUGAAGAAAGAACCACUAGAGCUCAUAAGAAAGAACGAGAAAAGGAAAUCUGGGACUCCUUUCCUUCUAAGAAGGAGGUAAGUAUCCUAAGGGAGAUGGCGGAGAAAAGGAGAAACUUAAAAGUGUCAGAGGAGAAAACGGGGGAUGGGGAGACAGAGGCACCCUGCCCUAUUCUUUACAGGGUUCCGUAGAACUGUCAAUAGAUUUCCACUCCUGUUUCUUUCAAAUUUUUAAAUUCCUCCCAGAAUAGCAGCUCUCUGAGGUGUCAGGAAAAAAGCAGUAUUGAAUUACUUGACAUUGAAAUGUAAAUACCUGCAGGACUCAGUAUCCUACAGAUCUUGGCUUUUCAGAAGCAGGAUAAAGAGUCUCUAUUUGGUUGGAUUCCAGGCAUGGUCAUAAGUGAAGACCAUGUACAUGAUGUGUAGGUGGUUAUGGGCAGAAUACGCCACAGAGAGAUACCAGUUCUGUGCAAGUAGCUUUCCUCAGGCUCCAGCUUCAUACCCCUAGUUGUUACUGCUUUUCUUGGCCUUCUUUUCAUCUCCACUGCAUUGACUCAGAUCCCUUCACUUUCUCUCAUAUGCACAGGGGCACCGGUAGCUUUUGGGUUUGGGUUUGGAGGCAUGGAGGUACAGCAGCACAGCAACAUUCUUUGUAUGGUUGACCGAUUUUUAAUUCAGGUGUUCUAGCUAUAUAUUGAUGCUUAACAAAUCACCAACUUUUUGUGGCAUAAAACACCAUUUGAUUCUGUGCACAAAUUGUGCAGGCCAGGAAUUCAGGCAGGGAAGAGUAGAGACAGUUUAUCUUUGAUUAUCAGUGUCUGGGUCCUCAGAUAAUCUAAGCUGGAGGCUAGAGCCAGAGUGCUGGAGGAAUCACCUCCAAGAAGGCUUCUUCAUUCUCAUGUGUGGUCCCCGGGCUGGGAAAGCUAAAAGUGGGCUCAGCUCAGACUGUCAUGGACUAUCAACCAGACGACUACAUGUGCCCUUGCCAGCAUAGUGGUCUUAGAGUAAUUGAACUUCUUACCUGGGCAUCUUAGAAUUCCAAAAGCCAAGAUUCCCUAAGGAAAAGACAGAAGCUUUAUGACUUUUUAUGACUUGGUCUUGGUCACAAUGUAAUUCUUCUGCCACACGCUGUUGGUCAAAGCAGUCCACUCAGAUUUAAAGGGAGAAGAUAGGUCCCACCUUGUUAAGUUCUUAAUAUGUCCCCCAAAAUGUAUACGUUGGAGCCUAAAAUCCAAUGUGAUAGUAUUAAGAAGCAGAGCCUUUAGAAGGUUUAGUCAUGUGGGCAGAGCUCUUGUGGAUGAGAUUCUGACCCUUAUAAAAGGGCUUGAGGAAUGGCUAUGCACUCUUCCACUCUUCCACCGCACAAGGACACAGCAUGCAUCCGCUCGGGAGGAUACAGCAACACGGCAUCAUCUUGGAAACAGAAACAGGGCUCUCACCAGACACCAAACCUGCUGGUGCCUUGGUCUUGGGCUUCCCAGCCUCCCAAAUGGUGAGAAAUAAAUUUCUGUUCUUUAUAAAUUACCCAGUCUCAGAUAUUUUUUAAUAGCAACACAGGCAGACUAAGUCACAACUCUUGAUGAAAAGAGGUUUAAAGAAUUUGCAGCUGCAUUUUAAAGCUGCCACAAUGAGGUGCUUUUUGAAACCAAAGACUGCUUCUGCCACAUGUUUAUUUCCCAUGAAAAUUUUCCAGGAAGUCAUUGAGAAUGUUGCUCUGGCUAUAUUCAAGUGGUUCCUAAACUAAAGGAUGUAUAAGAAUCACUGAGGCGCUUGUGAAAAGUGCGUAUGCCUAGGCUCCACCUCCCCAGUUUAUCUCUUAUUGCUCUACUUAUCACCUGUAACCUGCACCCAGGUCAAUCUGAUACUUUAUUAUUUGUUUUUCUUUUUGUACCUUUUCCUCUGCCCCUCUUAACUGAUUUAGAAGUUAUACAAUCUAUUUCUGUUUUUUAGUGGAAACUUUGAAAUUUUACCUUGCACAUCUACUUUAAUAAAGUCUUAUACUAAUAUCUUAACAUUUCUCCUUUAAUACUGUAGAACAUUUAACUCUGAUCACCCAUUUCUCAGAUGAAGACCUGCUAAUGUUUAAUAUUUUAGUGCUAUAUAUUUUGGAUUCCAGUCCUGCCACAGACACUUUUGAGUGCCCUGCCAUAUCUCCCCAGUCAAGCCUGGAAGUACUAGUCGCCUCAGUGGACAGUUCUUACACACAUUGAUGGCUGCCUGUCUCAAGCACCUGCAUAUCUUUUCUGAGGGUUUUCACUGAUUGCAGGAGCAUAUUCUGCAGGCCAGAAAAGCUGACACCAAAAGGCAAUUCUCAGCCAAUACGAAAUAGCAGUUAGUAGAUAAAUGCCCCAACUUCAUCACUCUUUGGUGAGAAAAUUCUAAAAUGUGCUACACACAGAUUUUCAGAGGAAUCCCAGUGGGGUUGAGCCCUGUUGUUAACAGCAAGCAGUUACUUGCUCAUUUAUGCACCUUCUCUUGGCUUCCUUUCUGUUAUGGACCAAAUGUUUGUGUGUCUCUCUGAAAUUUGUAUGUUGAGCUCCUAACUCCCAGAGUGAUGCUGUUAGGAAGUGGGGACUUUGAGAGGUGAUUAGGUGAAUAGGAUUAGUCCCCUUAUAAAAAGACACAAGAAAGCUCUCUCUCCUUCUCUCUGCUAUGUUAAGUACAACCAAAAGUAAGCUGUCUGCAAUCCAGAAGUGGGUCCCCACCAAAACCUGGCCAUGCUGCCCUGUAAUCUUAACCUUCCAGCCUUUACAAAAGUGAGAAAUAAAUUUCUGUUGUUUAUAAACUAUCCAGUCUAUGGUACUUUGUUAUAACAGUCUAAAUCUUAACAUUUUUCUUGAAUAAUACUUUAAAACAUUUAACUCUGAUCACUCACUUCUCAACUGAAACCCUACUUUGUUUAAUAUUUCAAUGUUAUACAUUUUGAAUUCCAGUCUUACCACAGAUGCUAUUGAGUGACCUGCUGUAUCUCCCCAGUUGAGCCUGGAAGUCACCAGCAGCUUCAGUGGACAGUUCUUACACACAUUGUUGGCUUCCUGUCUCAAGACUAAGACGCUUCACUCUCCUAUUGAUGCUUCCUGGCAUCAUUUCCAAAAUGAAGGCUCUGACAUUUCUUCUAGUUUCAUCUUCCUUCUUAUAUGCUUUGGUGGAAAGAUCUAAAGGAGACAUUCUGAACCUCUCAUCUGGCAAUGGCAUGUUCCCUGUCCCACUGUUGACCAUGCAUUCCGCAACCAAGACUUUUGUAGAUUUCUUCUCUCGGUGCCUCCCUGAGGAGUACAGGAGCAAGGGCAUCUUUGUGCAGAGCAUCCUGCCAUACUUCGUAGCUACAAAACUGGCUAAAAUCCGAAAGCCAACUUUGGAUAAGCCCUCUUUGGAGACGUUUGUGAAAUCUGCAAUUAUAACAGGAGGCCUGCAAAUCCCAAACCAAUGGAUACCUGAUUCAUGCUCUUCUGGGUUCCAUAAUCUCAAUCCUGCCUUCUUAGAUUUAUUUUAAAAUACCAUGGAUAUGAACAAGUCUACAUGGACUCGCUAUCCGAAGAAAACCAAGAAUAAUUAAGCAUUGAUAACUACAUUGUAAUUUGGCCAGAUGCUCCAGCCUAUGCAUGUUCACUGCAAGGCACCCUACUGGUCUUGAAAAUCUGAAGCUGUCGUUUGACCAAAUGUUAUCUUAAUUAAGAGGAAAACAGAAAUUGCUUUUAGGGGUCUCUGACAUAUAUUCUGGAUACUACCAGAGGUAAUUUUGAAGUUUAUUAUAAAUGCUCAUAUCAAAUGAAUAUAGAACUAAUAUUGUCAAGAUCAGCUAAUAGGAAGGAAUACUAUUAUAGCAAAUCACAGAAUGAUAGACUCAGACAUAAAACCAGCAGUUUUAUCUGCUCCAAAAUGCCAUUGAUCAUUAUGCCUGUAUUUUCUCUGAAGCUGAUUAUAAAAAGUAAUGUCCAGUUAUUCUUUUGUUUUUGACACUUUGAAGAAAUGGUGAUUAAUUGAUUUGAUUUGUUUAUAAGUGGAUAUACUGCAAUUUACAAAGAUCUCUUUAAGGUCUUACAAAAUUAUGUUCCAGUUUGUACAUUUAUAUGGAAUUGUUCUUUAUCAAGUGUAGCUAAUGACAUAAAAAUAAUGAUGAAAUAUGGAGUUAUUUCUGACACAUGAAGCCCACUAAACUAUGCUUUCUUGUAAUGCAUAUUUCUUCUCAGUUUAAAUGUAUAUAAAUAUUGAAGCUAUA
Chlorocebus sabaeus (green monkey) is the source of this 4619-nucleotide non-coding RNA. The record is from RefSeq and is a predicted model, not a curated record. NCBI's taxonomy places the organism in Eukaryota, Metazoa, Chordata, Mammalia, Primates, Cercopithecidae.